UUUUUCUUUUUCUUUUUUUUUUUUUUUGAGACGGAGUCUUGCUCUGUUGCCCAGGCUGGAGUGCAGUGGCACAAUCUCACUGCAAGCUCUGCCUCCCUGGUUCACGCCAUUCUCCUGCCUCAGCCUCCGGAGUAGCUGGGAUUACAGGCGCCCGCCACCUCGCCCGGUUGAUUUCUUUUUGUAUUUUUAGUAGAGACGGGGUUUCACUGUGUUAGCCAGGAUGGUCUCGAUCUAUUUUCUAAUCUGAUAUUCAGGAUCUAAAAAAGUAGUUCUGUAUACCGGGAUGACCUCAUGAUGCCAGGGGUCUUGGUUGCUUUGAAUUGUUUUUCUAGUGGUAGUAAUGAAUUUGUACUAAAGUUUUCAUCUGUACACAUUGUAAACAAUAGGACAGACUUGAGUGUUGUGGAAUUUGGAUACUCAUUAGAGCUGUUUGUUUAUUUAUUUAUUUAUUUUUGAGACAGAAUGAGUCUUGUCGUGUCUCUCAGGCUGGAGUGCAGUGGUGUGAUCAUGGCUUACUGCAACCUUGAGCUCUCAGACUCAAGAGUUCCUCCCCCUUCAGCCUCCUAAGCAACUGGGACUACAGGCAUGAGCUACCACGCCCAGCUAACUUUAAAAAAGUUUUUUUAGUGGAGGUGACAUGUGACUAUGUUGCUCAGGCUGGUCUGCAACUCUGCCUCAAGUGAUCCUCUCAUCUCGGCCUCCCAAAGUGCUGGGAUUACAGGCAUGAGCCACUGUGCCCGGCCUGAUCUGAUUUUUAUUUUUAUGUUUAUUUAUUGAGAUGGAGUCUUGCUCUGUCACCAGGCUGGAGUGCAGUGGCUCGAUCUCGGCUCACUAUAACCUCUGACUCCCUUGUUCAAGUGAUUCUUCUGCUUCAGCCUCCUGAGUAGCUGGGAUUCCAGACGUGUGCCACCACGCCCAGCUAAUUUUUGUACUUUUAGUAGAGAUGGAGUUUCACCAUGUUAACCAGGAUGUUCUCCAUCUCCUGACCUCGUGAUCUGCCCACCUCGCCCUCCCAAAGUGUUGAAAUUACAGGUGUUAGCUACCUCUCUCAGCCCUGACUUUUAUUUUUAAGUCAACCCUCCACUUUUGGAGAAAUACAGAGAUUUGUGUUUUGAGUAUAUACUCGACUUUCCAGAAGCCAAAACAGAAAAACAUAGACUUUCAACAUUACUGUUGUAUCUUUUCCUUUAGUACACUUAUUUUGCACUAGCUAUUUUUGAUAAAAUGUUUUAACUGCUGUUUUCCUCUGAAAUACUUUUUAAAAGUUGAAUUAUGAGCAUCUUUUAUUCUCCAAAAAAUUAUAGAUAGGUUUUUCUAUGGAAGACUGUGAAAUGUCAGCUUUUUGUAAAUCACUAACAGUAAACUGAAUUCGUAGAGCAUAACUCUUGAAUGUUCACUGCCAUUUUUACCUAUGAAGAAUUACCUUCCUUUUGACCUUGUAACUACAGUACUGGUCUGCACGGAUAAAUAAACCCAGAUUCUCUACCCUUGACCCUAAGGAGGUAUAGUGGGGACAGAGGUCACUGUAGCUGCCACCUUGCAGUUGCAGGGAGGAACUGG
This 1560-nucleotide long non-coding RNA is filed under the name Macaca fascicularis (crab-eating macaque). Its description in RNAcentral is "lncRNA (ENSMFAG00000056427.1)". The record is from RNAcentral. Lineage: Eukaryota; Metazoa; Chordata; Mammalia; Primates; Cercopithecidae.